RNAcentral lists this ribosomal RNA (69 nucleotides) under Collybiopsis subnuda. RNAcentral's name for it is "partial 28S ribosomal RNA". Lineage: Eukaryota; Fungi; Basidiomycota; Agaricomycetes; Agaricales; Omphalotaceae. The record is from RNAcentral.
UUUGAAUAAUUUGAAACCGAUCACUAAAGCGAUCCUUAAUAGCGGUCAAAUUUAGGCUUACUUGGAUAC